AUUGAACGCUGGCGGCACGCCUAACACAUGCAAGUCGAGCGGCAGCGAGAGUAGUAGCAAUACUACUUGUCGGCGAGCGGCGGACGGGUGAGGAACACGUAGGAAUCUGCCCAGAAGAGGGGGAUAACCAAGGGAAACUUUGGCUAAUACCGCAUAAUCUCGAGAGAGAAAAGCUGCCCGUAAGGGUGGCGCUUUUGGAGGAGCCUGCGUCCGAUUAGCUAGUUGGUAGGGUAAGAGCCUACCAAGGCGAUGAUCGGUAACUGGUCUGAGAGGACGACCAGUCACACUGGGACUGAGACACGGCCCAGACUCCUACGGGAGGCAGCAGUGGGGAAUAUUGGACAAUGGGGGAAACCCUGAUCCAGCGAUGCCGCGUGAGUGAAGAAGGCCUUCGGGUCGUAAAGCUCUUUAGGUUGGGAAGAAGGGUAUUGAGCGAAUACCUCAGUACUU
Molecule: ribosomal RNA, 450 nt
Filed under: uncultured bacterium
Lineage: Bacteria
Description: bacterial SSU rRNA
Rfam family: Bacterial small subunit ribosomal RNA
Source: RNAcentral